Bradysia coprophila is the source of this 466-nucleotide long non-coding RNA. RefSeq lists it as uncharacterized. The record is from RefSeq and is a predicted model, not a curated record. NCBI's taxonomy places the organism in Eukaryota, Metazoa, Arthropoda, Insecta, Diptera, Sciaridae.
GGAUUUCGUCAUUAUAAAACAUCGUGUGACGACGACGAGUAGAGAAUGUACACACAAAGAUCACUAAAUGAAUUUAGAUGUACCGCACAUUACGGUGUUUCUAAUAAUGUUUGCCAUUUCAAGAGUGGUUCCAUCUGCUAUAGCAGUGGCGGCGGCCGCAGCAACAUCUUACGGCAUAAAAUCAAGAACUAAAACGGAAGCAGAUGUGGAGAUCAUAACGAAACCUUUUAGUUUUCGUGGACAUGUGUCGGUUACAAGCCAACAAGGUGACUCGUCGCUUAAGUUUGCCUGUGACAAGUAAAAAUGUGGCCGAACAUUGCUAACUGAAACUAAUUAUUCUGCAACAGCGAUGGACCAUUUCAACAUGCAGUUCAAUUGAUUUUUAAGAAAGCGGCGGGGACCGUUCCCUAUAUUAAUUCAAAUAGUUUUUAGUUGUUGUCUAAGCUUAAUUUUGUGCAAAUUUUGA